This 497-nucleotide ribosomal RNA is filed under the name uncultured bacterium. Its description in RNAcentral is "partial 16S ribosomal RNA". It matches the Rfam family "Bacterial small subunit ribosomal RNA", at positions 28 to 507 of the family's 1533-position model. The record is from RNAcentral.
GAUGAACGCUGGCGGCGUGCCUAAUACAUGCAAGUCGAGCGAACGGACGAGAAGCUUGCUUUUCUGAUGUUAGCGGCGGACGGGUGAGUAACACGUGGAUAACCUACCUAUAAGACUGGGAUAACUUCGGGAAACCGGAGCUAAUACCGGAUAAUAUUUUGAACCGCAUGGUUCAAAAGUGAAAGACGGUCUUGCUGUCACUUAUAGAUGGAUCCGCGCUGCAUUAGCUAGUUGGUAAGGUAACGGCUUACCAAGGCAACGAUGCAUAGCCGACCUGAGAGGGUGAUCGGACACACUGGAACUGAGACACGGUCCAGACUCCUACGGGAGGCAGCAGUAGGGAAUCUUCCGCAAUGGGCGAAAGCCUGACGGAGCAAAGCCGCGUGAGUGAUGAAGGUCUUCGGAUCGUAAAACUCUGUUAUUAGGGAAGAACAUAUGUGUAAGUAACUGUGCACAUCUUGACGGUACCUAAUCAGAAAGCCACGGCUAACUACGUG